CCCAACUCCAAUAUUGCUGCAGCUGAAUUAACACAAUUAACUUUAUAUAUAUAUAAAUUCACGAGUUGUUUCAUCGGAUAUAUUUAAUGUGUGUGUGUGUGUGAGAGAGAGAGAGAGAGAGUAGUGGACGCAGAAAUUAAGUAGUAUUACCAAAUCAGCUGAGCUAUUGAAGCCUGCUGAGAUCUCCAUUAACCAAGAAUUAAUAGAUAUAUGAAAUUACCUGCAUCUGCGAUUCUGCAUGCAUGGAUUCAGAAUAUAUAUAUAUGAGAUUAUUGUGCAGCGUGUGUGUGUAUAUAUAUUAAUUAAUAUAAAUAUAUCAUAUAUGUAUACCUAGCUAAUUAAUAACCCAACCAUGCAUGUAUGUAUCUGAGAAUGAAGAACAACGCUAGCUAGCAGUAUACGUUUUUGUGUCACGGAAUU
Molecule: long non-coding RNA, 420 nt
Filed under: Salvia miltiorrhiza (redroot sage)
Lineage: Eukaryota; Viridiplantae; Streptophyta; Magnoliopsida; Lamiales; Lamiaceae
Description: long non-coding RNA (SMIL_LNC010582)
Source: RNAcentral